RNAcentral lists this long non-coding RNA (395 nucleotides) under Helianthus annuus (common sunflower). RNAcentral's name for it is "hypothetical non coding rna". Lineage: Eukaryota; Viridiplantae; Streptophyta; Magnoliopsida; Asterales; Asteraceae. The record is from RNAcentral.
CCACCGUCUCCUCCGUAUCCACUAGCAUGGUAUGAGUCAUCUACAGGGGCUGUUUCAUCAACAGGAGGAUGCUUGUUCAAAUCUAGAAACGGGCUGUUUUGUUUUCCUUGUAUACUAGACACAACCUCCUCUUGCUCAUUAGAAUCGGGAACGCCAGACUCCUCCAAAAUAGACAACCGUAUCAUCAUUAGUAAAUAAUAAACUAAAACAACAAGUAAUUAAAACAUUUACGCUAAUAACUGUUACCGGAACGCUUUCGUGCCCCCACUUUUCGCUAGAAUACUGCCCGAAGAUAUAGUUGCCGUCCCAAUAUGAUGACAUUUCAACACUCCGGGAUGAUAAGAACGCAAAUACAAAUAAAAGAAGAAACAGAAUGUGAGUUGCAUUUUAUGUGA